AUGAACGCUGGCGGCGUGCCUAAUACAUGCCAGUCGAGCGCACAGAUAAGGAGCUUGCUCCUUUGACGUUAGCGGCGGACGGGUGAGUAACACGUGGGUAACCUACCUAUAAGACUGGAAUAACUCCGGGAAGCCGGGGCUAAUGCCGGAUAACAUUUAGAACCGCAUGGUUCUAAAGUGAAAGAUGGUUUUGCUAUCACUUAUAGAUGGACCCGCGCCGUAUUAGCUAGUUGGUAAGGUAACGGCUUACCAAGGCAACGAUACGUAGCCGACCUGAGAGGGUGAUCGGCCACACUGGAACUGAGACACGGUCCAGACUCCUACGGGAGGCAGCAGUAGGGAAUCUUCCGCAAUGGGCGAAAGCCUGACGGAGCAACGCCGCGUGAGUGAUGAAGGUCUUCGGAUCGUAAAACUCUGUUAUUAGGGAAGAACAAAUGUGUAAGUAACUGUGCACGUCUUGACGGUACCUAAUCAGAAAGCCACGGCUAACUACGUG
Molecule: ribosomal RNA, 496 nt
Filed under: uncultured bacterium
Lineage: Bacteria
Description: partial 16S ribosomal RNA
Rfam family: Bacterial small subunit ribosomal RNA
Source: RNAcentral